AGCGAACGCUGGCGGCAGGCCUAACACAUGCAAGUCGAACGAACCUUUCGGGGUUAGUGGCGGACGGGUGAGUAACACGUGGGAACGUGCCUUUAGGUUCGGAAUAACUCAGGGAAACUUGUGCUAAUACCGAAUGUGCCCUUCGGGGGAAAGAUUAAUCGCCUUUAGAGCGGCCCGCGUCUGAUUAGCUAGUUGGUUGAGGUAAUGGCUCACCAAGGCGACGAUCAGUAGCUGGUCUGAGAGGAUGAUCAGCCACAUUGGGACUGAGACACGGCCCAAACGCAUACGGGAGGCAGCAGUGGGGAAUCUUGCGAAAUGGGCGACAGCCUGACGCAGCCAUGCCGCGUGAAUGAUGAAGGUCUUAGGAUUGUAAAAUUCUUUCACCGGGGACGAUAAUGACGGUACCCGGAGAAGAAGCCCCGGCUAACUUCGUG
RNAcentral lists this ribosomal RNA (434 nucleotides) under uncultured bacterium. RNAcentral's name for it is "partial 16S ribosomal RNA". It matches the Rfam family "Bacterial small subunit ribosomal RNA", at positions 29 to 507 of the family's 1533-position model. The record is from RNAcentral.